This 137-nucleotide small nucleolar RNA is filed under the name Sphaeramia orbicularis (orbiculate cardinalfish). Its description in RNAcentral is "Small nucleolar RNA SNORA5 (ENSSORG00005005362.1)". It matches the Rfam family "Small nucleolar RNA SNORA5". From Rfam's summary of the family: ACA5 is a member of the H/ACA class of snoRNA that guide the sites of modification of uridines to pseudouridines. The record is from Rfam by way of RNAcentral. Lineage: Eukaryota; Metazoa; Chordata; Actinopteri; Kurtiformes; Apogonidae.
UGCAGCUUUGUCAAAUUCAGUGCUCCCUCCUCUGUAGGUUGUACUGGCCAAAAUGGCUGCAAUAGUGACUUUGUAGUUCAUGGGCCUCAUAUUUCUCUUUCAUGGACUUUGGGGAUAAAUAUGUACUACACACAACA